RNAcentral lists this ribosomal RNA (338 nucleotides) under uncultured bacterium. RNAcentral describes it as "bacterial SSU rRNA". It matches the Rfam family "Bacterial small subunit ribosomal RNA", at positions 1 to 334 of the family's 1533-position model. The record is from RNAcentral.
CUAGCGACUUCAGAGUUUGAUCCUGGCUCAGGACGAACGCUGGCGGCGUUCUUAACACAUGCAAGUCGAACGGAGUUAAGUAGCUUGCUACUUAACUUAGUGGCGAACGGGUGAGUAACGCGUGAGGAACCUGCCUUUCAGUGGGGGACAACAGUUGGAAACGACUGCUAAUACCGCAUGACACUAUAGUACCGCAUGGUACAUUAGUCAAAGAUUUAUUGCUGAAAGAUGGCCUCGCGUCUGAUUAGCUAGUUGGUGGGGUAACGGCCCACCAAGGCGACGAUCAGUAGCCGGACUGAGAGGUUGACCGGCCACAUUGGGACUGAGAUACGGCCCAG